GAUUUUUUAGGGCUACAUAAUUGAACAGCGUUAAAUACGCGAGAACAUGAUGGACUUCGAGGACUUGAAGACGGAGUUAAGAAGCCAUUGUCGGAAGAUGAACGGUUUGUAUUUAUAGAAGAAGCAUCAGGUUUCUCCUUGGGUUCACACAUCAACAUACUUGGCUGAAUCAGAGAUUUUGUAAAAUCAUUUAAUUCACUUAACGAGUCACUGUU
Non-coding RNA from Schizosaccharomyces pombe (fission yeast), 215 nucleotides. NCBI's taxonomy places the organism in Eukaryota, Fungi, Ascomycota, Schizosaccharomycetes, Schizosaccharomycetales, Schizosaccharomycetaceae. The record is from the annotation of a GenBank genome assembly.